UACGAAGGGGGCUAGCGUUGCUCGGAAUUACUGGGCGUAAAGCGUGCGCAGGCGGUUUUGUAAGCCAGAUGUGAAAUCCCCGGGCUUAACCUGGGAAUGGCAUUUGGGACUGCAAGGCUGGAGUUUGGCAGAGGAGACUGGAAUUCCUGGUGUAGCAGUGAAAUGCGUAGAUAUCAGGAGGAACACCGAUGGCGAAGGCAGGUCUCUGGGCUGAAACUGACGCUCAUGCACGAAAGCGUGGGGAGCAAACAGG
RNAcentral lists this ribosomal RNA (253 nucleotides) under uncultured bacterium. RNAcentral's name for it is "partial 16S ribosomal RNA". It matches the Rfam family "Bacterial small subunit ribosomal RNA", at positions 524 to 776 of the family's 1533-position model. The record is from RNAcentral.